RNAcentral lists this ribosomal RNA (501 nucleotides) under uncultured bacterium. Its description in RNAcentral is "partial 16S ribosomal RNA". It matches the Rfam family "Bacterial small subunit ribosomal RNA", at positions 30 to 523 of the family's 1533-position model. The record is from RNAcentral.
AUUGAACGCUGGCGGCAUGCCUUACACAUGCAAGUCGAACGGCAGCACGGGUGCUUGCACCUGGUGGCGAGUGGCGAACGGGUGAGUAAUACAUCGGAACGUACCUUAUCGUGGGGGAUAACGCAGCGAAAGCUGUGCUAAUACCGCAUACGCCCUGAGGGGGAAAGCGGGGGAUCGAAAGACCUCGCGCGAUUAGAGCGGCCGAUGCCUGAUUAGCUUGUUGGUGGGGUAAAAGCGCACCAAGGCGACGAUCAUUAGCUGGUCUGAGAGGAAGAUCAGCCACACUGGGACUAAGACACGACCCAGACUCCUACGGGAGGCAGCAGUGGGGAAUUUUGGACAAGCGGGGCAACCCUGAUCCAGCAAUGCCGCGUGAGUGAAGAAGGCCUUCGGGUUGUAAAGCUCUUUUGUCAGGGAAGAAACACCGGCUCUAACACAGUCCGGGAAUGACGGUACCUGAAGAAUAAGCACCGGCUAACUACGUGCCAGCAGCCGCAGUAA